Xenopus tropicalis (tropical clawed frog) is the source of this 73-nucleotide non-coding RNA. The record is from the annotation of a RefSeq genome assembly. Lineage: Eukaryota; Metazoa; Chordata; Amphibia; Anura; Pipidae.
GGCUCUGUGGCGCAAUGGAUAGCGCAUUGGACUUCUAAUUCAAAGGUUGUGGGUUCGAAUCCCACCAGGGUCG